RNAcentral lists this long non-coding RNA (541 nucleotides) under Pan troglodytes (chimpanzee). Its description in RNAcentral is "lincRNA". The record is from RNAcentral. Lineage: Eukaryota; Metazoa; Chordata; Mammalia; Primates; Hominidae.
AUCCCGGUGCUGCCCACCCACCACACCGCUAGCGCCUCUGAACCUCGCCAGGCACGUCCGGUUCUGCGGCCCCCACUCCGCCCCCGCCUGCCAGGAGCCGCGCAGUUACAAAGUGCCGGGAGCCGUGCAAGGCCAGUGAACCCCUCGCUGAGACUCAGUUUGCUGCCAUCACAAGUGCUCCGAGAAUCCUGGAGAGGGAGGAUAUAUUGGAGACAAACGGGACUGCUGCCCGCCUUUUAGGUGACCGUCGGAGGCUGCUCUGAGCCGGGCACAGGCAGGGAGGUGGAGGCCAGAUACAAGUAAACCACAGUACCAGUAAAUGACAAAGGCUGGAUCUUAACCCAAGUCCUCCGACUCUGAAGGCCAUACCCAACAGGUCCCAUUUUAUUUGUUUUACUUUUUUUAAAUUGAAGAAGAAAAAAACUAGCAUUCCCCUACAGUGCCCCCCACCUGGUGGGGACAUCUUGGGUUGGCAAGGCCACCACUUUCAAGAGUAGAAGUGUUUUUCAGCAGGAGGAGUUGGCUGCACCAAAGGAGCUCA